AAGGGUAGAAUAUAGCCAAGGAUGACUUGCCGGGUAUGUCCAUGUAUGCUUCAUGGGAGGGUAUGCAUUACUGCUUUGAAUCCAUGCUGAUAUUUUCUGGCAAGUUAUUCUUGGUUAACAUCUUGUUCUUGU
This is a non-coding RNA of Triticum urartu, 132 nucleotides long. Lineage: Eukaryota; Viridiplantae; Streptophyta; Magnoliopsida; Poales; Poaceae. The record is from Rfam.